AGGCAGUUCAGAACGAGGGUCCAGCCGAGUGCUCUCUAAUGUUUUGAUGAGCGCUCCAGGUCACGAGCUUCACGUUGUAUUUAUCAGGUAUUGAACACCGUUUUUCCCGUCUUACAUUUUAUUGAUUAUUUACAUUUAAAAAUACCUAAAGUUGGAUUAGGAAAGUUGUUUCAUAUGUUUGGACAGCGUUUACAGGUAACUUAUUAGAUAUUUUGUAGUCAUGUUGGGCGGGUUGGAACCGGUGUUUUUCUGAAUGAAAUGCGCCAAAUAAAUGGACAUUUUGGAGAUAUAACGUCGGAAUUAAUUGAACAAAAGGACCAUUUGUGAUGUUUAUGGACAUAUUGGAGUGCCAACAGAAGAAGUUCUUCAAAGCAUGAAGAUGACAGCAGGCUGCACGAGACAGUGGGAAUGGUGACGGACAGGACAUGAACCAUGUAUCCUGGACCUACUGAAAACACUCCACAUGGCCGGUAUAGCUGAACACUCCCAGAGCCUUCUCUGCCACUCUGCCCUCUAAC
RNAcentral lists this long non-coding RNA (518 nucleotides) under Salmo salar (Atlantic salmon). RNAcentral describes it as "lncRNA (ENSSSAG00000083745.1)". Lineage: Eukaryota; Metazoa; Chordata; Actinopteri; Salmoniformes; Salmonidae. The record is from RNAcentral.